RNAcentral lists this ribosomal RNA (102 nucleotides) under Erinaceus europaeus (western European hedgehog). Lineage: Eukaryota; Metazoa; Chordata; Mammalia; Eulipotyphla; Erinaceidae. The record is from RNAcentral.
GUCUACAGCCAAACCACCCUGAACACACCGGAUCUCGGCUGAUCUCAGAAGAAUAAGGCGAUAGGAAGGGAGCUGAAUGCAUUGAUCUCUAGAUUGUAUACA